Molecule: long non-coding RNA, 776 nt
Filed under: Malus domestica (apple)
Lineage: Eukaryota; Viridiplantae; Streptophyta; Magnoliopsida; Rosales; Rosaceae
Description: long non-coding RNA (MDOM_LNC013285)
Source: RNAcentral
GUUCAUACUUGUUCUUAGCUAGGACAAAAUUUUUCCUUCAAUUUAUUGUAUCAUGUGUUUAAGCAAUAAGGGAAUCCAAGGAAUGUAUUUGAUCUAAGAGACAAGUGAUUUAAAUAAGUUAGAUUAGCGAGACCUUUCCCUUAUGUUCAUUCCUAAAACGUUCCUAGCCAUAGGAUUGCCAAUUAGGCAUUGACAAUCCACUAAGGUUAGUAUGUGUUAUGUCAACUCAAGCGUGAGUAUGACUAGUCUCAAGUCAUUUAGUGUUGGACACUAAGACGAACACAUAGGUGCUUGAAAGAGUAAUCGAGUACACUGAACAACGAUCAAAAGAGAGUUCGCACAUACAUGUCAUGUAAGAACUCGUAAGUUGCAAUAUGCAAUGUAGUACUUUGACCUGAGGCAUCAUAGAUGUCUAAUGGUUAGGUCCUUGAUCUUUGAUCAUGUCAAAGGCAUUCCAUCGAGAGUGUCCACGACAUUGUUGGGGUCAAGCUAUCUAGUCAUGUAGGCAUAUGAAUGCACAACAAGGAAUCUCUAACCUUUCAUGGUGGAAGGAGAAUACUCUAAGAUAUGAUUCGGGAUUCUUUGGCCAAAGCAUACGAAUAUGACUUAGGAAGUAUGUUCCAAAUCAUAUUCAAUUGAAUCAUAUAGAGAAGUAUCACAUUGAAUAGUAGACAUGAUACAAACUAUCACUCAAACAAUGUGAUUAAGAGUAUUGUAUUAGAGAAGGACUAUAUUGCAUUGUAAUUGUAACUGGAUAGGUUCUCCAACCAAUUCUA